This is a long non-coding RNA of Liolophura sinensis, 363 nucleotides long. RefSeq lists it as uncharacterized. The record is from RefSeq and is a predicted model, not a curated record. Lineage: Eukaryota; Metazoa; Mollusca; Polyplacophora; Chitonida; Chitonidae. The transcript has 4 exons.
UCUAAACCUGGAAUAUGUGGAAACUAUUCCCUAUGUACAAUGGAUCGUGGUCAAGUCAUCUGUCAGUGUGAAGAAGGGUAUAGGGCUGGACCUCCUGGGGAAAAUGGCUGUAUCCCAGUUUCAUCGUCAACUACCGUUGUAACCACACCAUCUACACACAAGAGUUCAACAACAACACCGAUUGUGUCAACAUCGACAAAGCAGUCAAACAGGCUGACCACGCCUCCAACUCACACAAUGUCCAUGCACAAGCCAGUGGAAAGUCAUGGUAACCUCAUAUUCAUGUUUACAGGAACUUCGUCAAAACCAGAAACUUCAGAGAAGACGUCACCAGGUUCUCCAUUAGGCCAAACAACCACCUCA